Molecule: long non-coding RNA, 1429 nt
Filed under: Rattus norvegicus (Norway rat)
Lineage: Eukaryota; Metazoa; Chordata; Mammalia; Rodentia; Muridae
Description: long non-coding RNA NONRATT003145
Source: RNAcentral
ACAGUCCAUCCAUCCAUCCAUCCAUUCAUCCAUCUAACCAUCCAUCCAUCCAUACACCCUCAACUAUCCAUUCACCCAUCUAUUAUCCCUUUGUCACUCUCAUUCCUCCCUUUGUCAAUCAUCCAUCCACCCAUCCAUACCUCAGCCAUCUUUAUCAUCCAGUUAUCUAUUGGUGCAUCUGUCUACAUACAGGCAUCAUCUAUUGUGCCCCUACUGUGUGCCACACAGUGUGGUAGGCCCCUGAGAUGGGACACUGAAGCUUCCAGAGAAGCAGACAAGGGGUGGAAUAGGAGGUGACAGUUCAGUGUUUGAGUGCUGGGUGUGGUACCUGCUCUGGAGUCAGACUGCCUAGCAUCAGAUCCUGUCUCCUCAGCCCCGGUGGCCUUACCCUGUAGAUGGGACUCUUCACUGUACCUACCUCUUAUAGCUGCUGGGGGUGGGGUGUGGGAAUGGCAUAGACUGGUGCCUGUGAGCACAGGGAGCAGAGUCUGGACCAUGGAAAGCACCCUGCCAUCAUGUCAAUGGGGAGAGUUGAGGCCAUGGACCUGGGGCGGUGCCUGUUGGAGACUACCUGAAGGAUUGGUGAUCAAGGAAAUGAUACCCAAGUCAUCUUGCUGAUGUCAGAUUGUGGAAGGAAGGACAGGACAGGAGAAGGCUUUCAAAUGGCCCAAAGACAAGCAUGGAGGAAAAGGAGGUUUGUGGGGAGUGGAACCAGGCUGCAGAGAGGAUUCAAAGCUUCCUCGGAGGACCUGUAGCUUGGGAACAGCUCUGGGCAGGGUGGGACCGGCUAAGGUGAGGUAUGUAGAAAGUCACCACAGCUCCAGGCUAGAGAUGAUGAUGAGGGCAGGACUCCCGUGUGCUUGCAGCCCUAAGUGGGAGGAGAGUGCUGUGGUUGAGGAAAGAGGCCCAUGGAGGGUCGGGUGGCUGACUCAGGGGCCAUGAGGAGGGAUUGGCAUGGGAGGAGAGGACUUCAAUGUCUGUUCUGGGUCAGGAGGAGCACCUAGGGGCAAAGGAUGACUACAUGCUUCUGUGUGCAGGUAGGCCUGUGCUCAGAGGACACCAGAAAACCAGUAUGGGGAGCUGUGGCACGGACCUUUCACAAGUGGGAGCCACUGGGCUGGGUCCUGAGCAUGGUCACUGGUCUGAAUCUGACCCUGCCACCAGGAAUUCUGUAGGUCUUAGUGGUCAUCCACGGGCCUUGUGAAGUUGGCCACGGGCCCCAGAAGGUCCAAGAAAUGAUUUUAGUUGCAAAACUGCCAUCUAUUUUAAUAGCUGUGUUUAUGUAAAUGUGUAUUAGAAAACAGUGUAUGGGCGUGUCCACGCUCCAGAUGCAGGCGCUUCUGCGUAGAGUGAACCACAAUAGGCGUUUCAGUAAAAAGAGUUGGCUUAAAGAAAAAUACUAAAUAAAUAAUCAUGCAAGUGGUCUGUG